GAUGAACGCUGGCGGCGUGCCUAAUACAUGCAAGUCGAGCGAACGGACGAGAAGCUUGCUUUUCUGAUGUUAGCGGCGGACGGGUGAGUAACACGUGGAUAACCUACCUAUAAGACUGGGAUAACUUCGGGAAACCGGAGCUAAUACCGGAUAAUAUUUUGAACCGCAUGGUUCAAAAGUGAAAGACGGUCUUGCUGUCACUUAUAGAUGGAUCCGCGCUGCAUUAGCUAGUUGGUAAGGUAACGGCUUACCAAGGCAACGAUGCAUAGCCGACCUGAGAGGGUGAUCGGCCACACUGGAACUGAGGCACGGUCCAGACUCCUACGGGAGGCAGCAGUAGGGAAUCUUCCGCAAUGGGCGAAAGCCUGACGGAGCAACGCCGCGUGAGUGAUGAAGGUCUUCGGAUCGUAAAACUCUGUUAUUAGGGAAGAACAUAUGUAUAAGUAACUGUGCACAUCUUGACGGUACCUAAUCAGAAAGCCACGGCUAACUACGUG
RNAcentral lists this ribosomal RNA (497 nucleotides) under uncultured bacterium. RNAcentral describes it as "partial 16S ribosomal RNA". It matches the Rfam family "Bacterial small subunit ribosomal RNA", at positions 28 to 507 of the family's 1533-position model. The record is from RNAcentral.